AGCGAAAUACCUUGUGGGGUAAGUUCCCACGCGCAUGAAUAGCGGAACGACUGGGGGACUGUCUCAACCAAUAGCCCGGUGAAAAUGCAAUGUCGGUAAAGAUGCCGACUUCCCGCACCAAGACGGAAAGACCCCGGAAGCUUCACUGCAGCUUGGUAUUGGUCUACGAGUUGUUAUACGUAGCGUAGUGAGUAGUCUUUGAAGUAUCGAUUUAGGUCGGUAUGGAGACGCCAAUGAAACACUCAUUUUAACGAUUUGUAGCUCUAACCGGGAGACAGUGCCUGGCGGGUAGUUUAAGUGGGGCACUUUCCUCCUAAAGAGUAAUGGAGGAGUUCAUCAAGGUUGGCUAGCUCCGGAUGGAAAUCGGAGCGAUAGUGUAAAGGCAUAAGCCAGCUUUACUGCAAGACGGAUGUGUCGCGCAGUUACGAAAGUAGGACCUAGUGAACCGACUCUCGUUCGUAGGAACGGAGAAGAUCACCAGAUAAAAGCUACUCCGGGGAUAACAGGCUAGUCUUGCCCGAGCGUUCACAGCGACGGCAAGGUUCGGCACCUCGAUGUCGGCUCGCCCUAUCCUGGGACUGAAGAAGGCCCCAAGGGUUUGGCUGUUCGCCAAUUAAAAGGGUACGCGAGCUGGGUUCAAACCGUUGCGGGCGUUGAAUAUUUGAGAGGGGUUGUCCCUAGUUUCUAGUGAUAGGAGAAUAAGUGACGAGAGGACCGGGACGAACGAACCUCUGGUGUACCAGCUGUCCUGCCAAGGGCAUUGCUGGGUAGCUAUGUUCGGUUCUGAUAAGCACUGAAAGCAUAGAUGAGAUAUUCUGGAUUCCUUGUAGAUUACGAGGUUGAUAGGACUCAGGUGUAAGCACAGCGAUGUGUUCAGCCAAGAGUUACUAAUAGAUC
This 897-nucleotide ribosomal RNA is filed under the name Candidatus Yanofskybacteria bacterium GW2011_GWD2_39_48. RNAcentral describes it as "bacterial LSU rRNA". It matches the Rfam family "Bacterial large subunit ribosomal RNA", at positions 1958 to 2911 of the family's 2925-position model. The record is from RNAcentral. Lineage: Bacteria; Candidatus Yanofskyibacteriota.